Bombus huntii is the source of this 2353-nucleotide RNA transcript. It is a transcript of the gene named DNA polymerase epsilon subunit 2, with no coding region annotated. NCBI's taxonomy places the organism in Eukaryota, Metazoa, Arthropoda, Insecta, Hymenoptera, Apidae. The record is from RefSeq and is a predicted model, not a curated record. The transcript is spliced from 7 exons.
AUAGAGUAUAGGGGAAUUUAACGUGCCAUCUCCGAUGCAAAAGCGAAGCCAAAGCAUCAUUCCACGUCCUCCAAUUCUUCCAAUUCUUACAAAGAGAACAAAAAUUAACCAACUACAUAACUAUGUAUACAGUUAAAAAAAGAAAACAGGAUAUAAUGUAUAUAAAUGUAAUAUAAGCAUCUGUAAUUAUGCCUGGUGAAAAAUUAAUAAAUGCGGUACAAAGUACCUUUUCGUUAUACGGACUUGUACUUUCAAGGAAACUUAGCAUUUCACUUGCUAAGGAACUUCUAAAUGUAGAAGAAAAUGAACGUGAAAUGUGGCUAAUGCAAGUAAUAGAGCAAGUUUUAGCUCAAAAUUUAAGUGAUACACAGAUAACCAUUGAAAAUUUGAAGCUAGCAAUAGAAGAAUGUAUAAAACCCAAUGCGUUAAAGGAUACAGAAACAGUACUAAAUGUUAUAGAUGUAUUUGAUAUACCUAGAAUCAAAUAUGAGUUGUCUGAGAACAAAUUUGUUUUGGAAACUGUAACACCAAAUUUGGUUGCCGAAGCACAAUAUAAAUCCAUACUUUUUAAAGAUAGAUUUGAGUUGCUUUGGUACAGAACUAUGAGACAUGAAUUAUUUACUCCUCCAAUGCCUGGUGAAAGAAAAAAAGAUUGGAUUGAAUUAGUACCAAUUGAACAUCUGUUGAGUGGAAGUAAAGAAGGAAAUGUUUAUGUUAUGGGUCUUCUCUCUCAAUUAGUAGAGGGUGAAUAUUAUUUGGAAGACACAGGAGGUACAAUAAAAGUUGAUUUACAAAAAGCAAGAUUUCAGGAUGGUUUGAUCAUGGAAUGCUCUAUAGUAAUAGCUAAUGGAGAUUUCAAGGAUGGUAUUUUACAUGUGAAAAAUUUAGGUUUUCCACCAGCAGAAUCAUCUAGUAAUGCACGUGUAGAUUUCGGCAAUGCUAAUACAUUUGGUGGUUUGAGCAAGUUUUCUUUGAAACUUUCUGAAAAACUAAAAACUUAUGAAGAAAGUAACAAAGAUGGAAUGAUUGUUUUUGUAUCCGAAAUGUGGUUAGAUGAUAAAAUUGUUUUACGCAAAUUUAAAAUUAUGUUGGAAGGAUAUUCUGAAUAUCCACCUAUAGCUUUUGUAUUAUGUGGACAUUUUUUAAGUUUUCCUGCAAAACCAUCAAGCAGGCAAAAAUUGAUAGAGGGAUUAAAAAAUCUUGCUGAUAUAAUAAUACAAUAUCCAGAUAUAAACCAAACUUCCAAAUUUAUUUUUGUACCUGCAAUAGAUGAUAUUGGAUCACCAAAAAUUUUGCCAAAAUUGCCACUGCCCAAAAAUCUUACAGAAGAUUUUAGGAAAAAUAUACCUGGAGCAAUAUUUGCUACUAAUCCAUGUAGAAUUCAGUAUUGUACGAAAGAAAUUGUGGUACUAAGGGGAGAUAUUUUAACGAAAAUGUGUAGGAAUACUCUUUACUUUCCAUUUCAAGGCAAUAUCCACGAUCAUUAUGCAAAAUCAAUUAUCUCUCAAUCUCAUCUGACUCCUCUAAGUCUUCCAAUGUUACCUAUAUAUUGGAAAUACAAUCAUGCAUUACAAAUAUAUCCUACUCCAGAUCUCAUUGUAACUGCAGAUGGAUUUGAAGCAUAUGAAACUACCUAUUCUAAUUGUCAUAUAAUCAAUCCAGGAUCAUUUUCAAAAAACGACCAUUCCUUCAAAGUAUACGUUCCAGCGCUAAAUUUAGUUGAACAUUGUGCUAUUCCCAAAGAUAUGGAUGGUGUUUAACAACAAAUUAUUAUUGACGUUUGAAAUAAAGUACAGACUGGGCCGCGGCAUAUCUCAAUUCACUGCGCUGGAAGCAUAAGUCAAUUACUGGCCGUUUAAUUAAACAUUAUAAGGAUCAUAACUUUGUAAAACAACGUAUAACGUAUGAGAUGCAAUAAUAAAACGCGAUAGUAUGAUCUGCAAAUAUUACAAUUUCGUAUUAAUAACGAGCUGAACUGCUAUCAAUAAUACCAGCUGUACAGUUAAAGGGAACAUACGUCAACGUAAACAUUGCUCAAUACGAGAUUCUCGUGCAUAUGCGAGACGGAAGCGUUACAUGGGGCAACUCACGUAGGCCCUGGAUGCCCUUCGUGCUCUAUUCAACUCUAUCGCCUACCCUUUCUCAGAGUGUCCUCACUUUUAACAUUCAAACACGCAUAGUCGCACGUGCAGGUUGAAGUAAUAAGGAAAGUACAUGUGAGAACGAGUCAUCAUGCUGUUAUUGUUAUAAUUUAUUGUAAAUUAUUAUACGAUUCUAGUUAUUAUAUGAUCAUUACAAUUUAUUAUAAUACAAGAAUAGAAAUAUAUACAUACAUUAAUAUAAACAAAUCGUU